GAGUUUGAUCCUGGCUCAGAUUGAACGCUGGCGGCAUGCCUUACACAUGCAAGUCGAACGGCAGCACGGGAGCUUGCUCCUGGUGGCGAGUGGCGAACGGGUGAGUAAUGCAUCGGAACGUAUCCUGGAGUGGGGGAUAGCGUAGCGAAAGUUACGCUAAUACCGGCAUAUUCUGUGAGCAGGAAAGCGGGGGACCUUCGGGCCUCGCGCUCUUGGAGCGGCCGAUGUCGGAUUAGCUAGUUGGUGAGGUAAAGGCUCACCAAGGCGAC
This 269-nucleotide ribosomal RNA is filed under the name bacterium enrichment culture clone ALO1_GLFRUDD03GHED6. RNAcentral's name for it is "partial 16S ribosomal RNA". It matches the Rfam family "Bacterial small subunit ribosomal RNA", at positions 9 to 277 of the family's 1533-position model. The record is from RNAcentral.